Malaclemys terrapin pileata is the source of this 1928-nucleotide long non-coding RNA. RefSeq lists it as uncharacterized. The transcript has 3 exons. NCBI's taxonomy places the organism in Eukaryota, Metazoa, Chordata, Testudines, Emydidae. The record is from RefSeq and is a predicted model, not a curated record.
UCAGGUCUUUUGUACAGACUUCGCCUGGCUGUUUUUUUCUAACCACUUCAUUUAUCCAUCAUCGUACAGUACCGUGGACAGGGAAGGCAAGUAACCAGAUUGCUUUGAAACCAGAUGACACAGCAAACCAGUAGACUAGGCAAGCAGAGGAAAUGUACAUGCAGUGUAUCUAUUACCUUUCUUCCUUUAUUGAGACAAGAAAGCUACACUAUGCAGUCUUCUGUGCUCUAAGAAACAGAAUUCCAGAGCUGCCAUGGGGCAACUAGCCUUUUGAUCUGUCUUUUUUUGGAUACUCUUCUCAUUCUAAGACAAUAAGUGUAAAAUUUUGUUUCCAUUGGAGGCAGAGGAAAUAAACUGCAGGAGCAAUGUUGAUGCUGGAUCCUUGGGCUUACAGUGUUUGCUUGAGACAUCACAUGUGUGGAGCUUGCAGGGAAAAGCUUAAGUGUUUUGCUGACUUGCUGAGGACAGCAUGACAUCACCAACGCUGCAAAGUACCGGUUGCUGAUCACCCUGCUCUCCCACUGACUUCAGUAGGGGAAGGGCCUUUCAGAGUGAACCAUGGUGAACAUGAGAAAAAGAGGCCCUUGAAUAUUUCUGGAGGUCAAAUAAUCAGUUUCGUAAAAGAACACAAAUUCUUAUUCAUUCCAGGGUUCUCUCUGGAAACCCAAGGAGUAUUAUUGUUUGUCAUCAUAUAAUUGCGAAUUCUAAAAUGCUAUUGGAGCAGAGCAGGUGAUUCUCGCUGCUAUCAUAAAUUGGGAAAAGUCUGGAGACUCUGCUGCAAAUAAACUGAAACAUGUUUUGUAAGCAGAUGAAAAGAGGGUUUAUCUGAUGGCAUCAAGACUUAAGUUUAAUAUUUCAUUAUACUGUAGAACAGGGGUGGGCAAACUAUGGCUCGGGGGCUGCAUCCGGCCCUUCAGACAUUUUAAUCUGGCCCUCGAGCUACAGCAUCCAGGGCUUGCCCCGCUCCUGCCAGGGAGCAGGAUUGGGGGCUUGCCUGGCUCCAUGCAUGCCAGGUCUCCGGGUGGCUCCUGGAAGCAGCAGCAUGUCCCUCCUCCACCUCCUACACAUAGGGGCAGCCAGGGGGCUCCGCACGCUGCCCUCACAGCUCCCAUUGCCUGGCAACUGCGGUCCAAUGGGAGCUGCAGGGGCAGCGCCUGCAGACGGCAGCAUGCAGAGUCUCCGGGCUGCACCUCUGCAUAGGAGCCGGAGGGGGGACAUGCCGCUGCUUCCAGGAGCUGCUUGAGGUAAACACCGGCCGGAGCCUGCACCCCAACCCCCUCCCGUGCCCCAACCGCCUGCCCCAGCCCUGAUCCCCUUCCUGCCCUCCGAACCCCUCGGUCCCAGCCCAGAGCACCCUCCUGAACCCACAACCCCUCAUUCCCAAUCCUACCCCAGAACUCAGACCCCCAGCCGAAGCCCUCACCCCCUCCCAACCCCCAAUUUCGUGAGCAUUCCUGGCCACCAUACAAUUUCCAUACCCCAAAAAAAUUUGCCCACCCCUGCUGUAGAAGCAUGACCACAGUAAUAUACAUCCUGUGACAGCUUUGUGUAUAUUCCUUGUAGCGGACAAAGUUUUGUUCUGUUUUUUUCAUAUCAACAGGUCAUUAAAUGAUUUAUUUUUAUGAUUAGUCAUUCAUAUGGUUGACAAGUUUAGGAACCACUGUUAACUGACAUCUUUUGAAAGACAGUACAAAAACUGUUCAACUUUAACAUGUUAGACUGCAACAUGGACAGGCAACUUGUUUCACUUUGCAAAAGAAUCUGCCCUCCUUCAUUAAUAUUUUAUAAGGUCAAUUUUGUUUCUGGUCUUACUAGAGGAUUUAUAAUAGUUUGGCUAACUAACUGGAUCACUCGGGUGUAUCCAGUGCAACAACAUUGUACUAAAAUGUAGGUGUGUAACAAGUGAUUACAAUAAACCUCUUAAUUCA